Molecule: ribosomal RNA, 431 nt
Filed under: uncultured bacterium
Lineage: Bacteria
Description: partial 16S ribosomal RNA
Rfam family: Bacterial small subunit ribosomal RNA
Source: RNAcentral
AACGAACGCUGGCGGCAGGCUUAACACAUGCAAGUCGAGCGCCCAGCAAGGGGAGCGGCAGACGGGCGAGUAACGCGUGGGAACGUACCUUUUGGUUCGGAACAACUCCGGGAAACUGGUGCUAAUACCGGAUAAGCCCUAACGGGGAAAGAUUUAUCGCCGAAAGAUCGGCCCGCGUCUGAUUAGCUAGUUGGUGGGGUAACGGCUCACCAAGGCGACGAUCAGUAGCUGGUCUGAGAGGAUGAUCAGCCACACUGGGACUGAGACACGGCCCAGACUCCUACGGGAGGCAGCAGUAGGGAAUAUUGGACAAUGGACGCAAACCUAAUCCAGCCAUGCCGCGUGAGUGAGGAAGGCCUUAGGGUUGUAAAACUCUUUUGUCCGGGAAGAUAAUGACGGUACCGGAAGAAUAAGCCCCGGCUAACUUCGUG